Molecule: long non-coding RNA, 1717 nt
Filed under: Sus scrofa (pig)
Lineage: Eukaryota; Metazoa; Chordata; Mammalia; Artiodactyla; Suidae
Description: lncRNA (ENSSSCG00060036325.1)
Source: RNAcentral
UGGAAGAAAGCUGGAAUUCAAAUCCCAGCGGUUCCUUGACUCCCUCCAUCCGCCAAAACCUUCCUGUGGAGCCACAGGCAGAUGUGAGCUCAGUAUGAAAGAGGACAGAAGAUGCCUGACUCAGCACCUGAGGUCCCUCUCCGACAUCUGGAGUCGGAAGUCAGGCCUCUCAAAGAAGAUCCUUAAUAGCCUCACCAUGUGGCAGGCACUGUUUGGGGUAUCUCGAGAGCGACAGAUACCUGUUUUUUGACCUUGUGGGGGCAGUGUCACUGAUUCAGCAGAGGAGCUAGAUCCAGGUGCAGGAUGCCUGUUCAAGGUCUGUGCAGAACCGUGGACGCAAGGAGGGGAGGCUGCAGCCAGGGCACCUGCUGUGGGCUGUUGUCAUUGUUUGCGUUGGAACAGGGAGAGGGGGGAACCCAGCUUAACUCUUCCGGAAACGUUUUGAAAAUUCUACCUUGCCUCUUUCACCAGCACAGCCACAGGUGCAUCACAGAAUGUGGACUAAGAACAGCCGUCCUGGCCUUCCUGCAGCAACGUGGUGGUGGCAUUCUUUCCAGCCGGGGAAGGACAUUUUCAAAAGUAGAGAAUUCACCUGCGAUCCCGUUAUGCUUAGGUUUCUCUGUUUUGUCCGCUUUCCAUCUCAGAUAUUCUCCACGUAUGUAUUUUUUACACAAUGGUUUCAGAGGCUUAUGUGUAAUCAGGAUGUGCACAGUUUGAGUCUGCUUUUCUCACUUAGUGCAAAUGCGCACUUUGCUAAGUUGCUUAAUUUUCUAAUCCCUUAAUUUUGGAUAUUUAGGUGGUUGGUAGUAUUUUUUUCUUUUCUUUUUUUUUUUUUUUGCUGUUACAGAAAUUUGUCCUAAAUGCACUACAACCUUUUCUCACUGUUUUCAGGGCAUAACUACCCUCGUGAUGGUCAAAGGCUAUGAAAAUUUUCAUAGUUUGAUACAAAUGCUUGCACUGAGCAGUAAUUAUCAGGCACUGAAGGAAGUCAGAGGUUCAGUGCAAUCUGGUUAGAGAUAUUCAUCAGUAAAAAUGUAUUUUUCCACUUCGCUAGAUUAUGAGAUGAAAUGGUACCUCAUUUUAAUUUACAUUUCCUUGAAAACAGUAAGAUCGGAAAUCUUUCCAAAUGUAAUUCCUCUUAUGUAAACUGCCUAAUUAAUAUAGCCUUCAGAUAUUGAGCUAUUAUUUUAUAUUUCUUUUUUUUUUUUNUUUUGUCUUUUAGGGCCUCACCCACAGCAUAUGGACAUUCCCAGGCUAGGGGUCUAAUUGGAGCUGUAGCCGCUGGCCUACACCACAGCCACAGCAACGUGGGAUCCGAGCUGUGUCUGCGACCUACACCGCAGCCCACAGCAAUGCCGGAUCCUUAACCCACUGAGUGAGGCCAGGGAUCGAACCCGAGUCCUCAUGGAUGCUAAUUGGGUUUGCUGAGCCACGACGGGAACUCCUAUUUUAUAUUUCUUAUUAAUUUGUAUGAACGAUUCAUCCUUGUCACAAUUGCUUCAAAUAUUUUUCCACUCUUCUAGCUAUUUUUAAUUUUUGGUUUUACAUUUUCAUAGUCAAAUUUGUUGGUCCUAGCAAGUUUCAGGGUUUAGAAUGUUACUUUCUUCUUUCUAAAAACAUCCAAUUCUAUUCUUGUUAAAAUUCUGUAUCCUCUUUUUAAGUCCACCUAGAGUGUAAUCUUUUUAUUUAUUUAUUAAAAAAAUUUUUUUUUGUCUUU